This 127-nucleotide non-coding RNA is filed under the name uncultured Isochrysis. The record is from RNAcentral. Lineage: Eukaryota; Haptophyta; Isochrysidales.
GCCACUUUCGGAAUCAUCAGUGCGCAGCUUGCGCUUGGCGCCGGCCACUUUUUGUGGUACAAUCGGUGGAGCAAGUGGCGCGAUUUCCGGCCGAUGCCCAUUGUGCGCGCAGCCUCCGCCACAUCCU